Molecule: ribosomal RNA, 433 nt
Filed under: uncultured bacterium
Lineage: Bacteria
Description: partial 16S ribosomal RNA
Rfam family: Bacterial small subunit ribosomal RNA
Source: RNAcentral
AACGAACGCUGGCGGCAUGCCUAACACAUGCAAGUCGAACGAUCCCUUCGGGGAUAGUGGCGCACGGGUGCGUAACGCGUGGGAACCUGCCCUUAGGUUCGGAAUAACUCAGAGAAAUUUGAGCUAAUACCGGAUAAUGUCUUCGGACCAAAGAUUUAUCGCCUUUGGAUGGGCCCGCGUUGGAUUAGCUAGUUGGUGGGGUAAAGGCCUACCAAGGCGACGGUCCAUAGCUGGUCUGAGAGGAUGAUCAGCCACACUGGGACUGAGACACGGCCCAGACUCCUACGGGAGGCAGCAGUGGGGAAUAUUGGACAAUGGGCGAAAGCCUGAUCCAGCAAUGCCGCGUGAGUGAUGAAGGCCUUAGGGUUGUAAAGCUCUUUUACCCGGGAUGAUAAUGACAGUACCGGGAGAAUAAGCCCCGGCUAACUCCGUG